Molecule: ribosomal RNA, 531 nt
Filed under: Triticum aestivum (bread wheat)
Lineage: Eukaryota; Viridiplantae; Streptophyta; Magnoliopsida; Poales; Poaceae
Description: partial small subunit ribosomal RNA
Source: RNAcentral
AUGAUUCUAGGACCUGGAAUCAUACCAGCCGAUGGUUUGAAGCACUCCUCUGGUUUGAAGGAUAGAUACCUUCCUGGGAUCAAGUGCAUCCUAACUCAUCUGCUACCAUAUAACUGGAAUUACCGAUGCAAGUCGAAGAAGGAUUGGCCGGUGCUGCCAGCUGGCGUCAAGUUCGGUCCCACGGAUCAAGAGCUGAUCGAGCACCUUGAGGCCAAAGUGAGUGCUGACAGCGCGAGAUCUCACCCACUCAUCGAUUUGUUCAUACCAACCAUCGACAGCGAGCAUGGCAUAUGCUACACCCAACCUGAGAAACUUCCAGGUAUCACACUGAGUGGCCUAAGGAAGCAUUUCUUCCAGCACAAUUCCAGGACGUUCAAAAGGGGCACGUGGACGCGUCGCAAGAUACAGUCGGAGUGCGGCAUGCACGCGAUGUGGCACAAGACCGGCAAUACCUUGCCGGUGAUGGUCAACGGUCGGCAGACGGGCAGCAAAAAGGUUCUGGUGCUGCACACCAACAAGAACUUCGACUAG